UGGAGUUACAACAUGUCCUUGGUUCUUGUCACCCACCCGGCCUUAAAUUGCAUUAAUUAUUUUCUUUAAUUAUCUUGGCCCCAGCAUUUCUUCUCCAUAACUAUUCCUUUCUUCACUCACUUUCAGUUUGCUGUAUCUUUUUAUUUUCUGUCCUGUCUUUUCCCCCCAACUCUACCAUAUAGAAUGCUCUCAGCUUUCUGCUCUUAUUAAAUUUAGCACAAUUCUUUGCCACCAAUCUCUGUCUUGCAUAUUGCCCUAUCUUCCACCUUCAAGCACUCAAGUUUUCAAAUCUCAUCCAGUGCAGUCUGUAACAAUCAGUCUUCCCUUUUAUUCCCAUCUGGUAAGUCUGCCCUGACCUGGGGUUCUGGCCAACUUUUCUGGACUCUCCCCGUUUCCUAAAUUUCACCAGUCCUUUUCCUUCCCCGCUCUUCCUUCCCCUUCCACCUUUCUGCCAGAAGAAAGAGCCACUGGCUCUGGAAGCUUGCUAUGUGUUUUUUCCUGCCAGCACUUGAUUUGCAGACUUUUUAUCAAUCCAAUUACAUCAUCAUAUUUUUAAAAAUUAUUUUCAUUGAAAUAAUAAUGCUGAUUUUUUGGAAUAUAUAUCCUUUCUUCUGUAAGUAAUUAGAACAAUAAGGUAGAAACAUAUACUAAAACAAGGGAAUGAAUGAAAAAUUACUGUGAAUUGCUAAGAAAUCGCUUGAGGUAAAUUCAUUGAUGAACAUUGUAACUUUGGUAAAUCCACAAACUCAGUUUGUUUCAAUAGGAGGGGAGACUUACAAAACUCCAGGAGAAGAAUCUCUAACUUAUCGUCACUUCUUUCUUUCAUGUUACUAUUGACUGUGUCACAGUCCAACCUUUAAAGUGAGUAAAACAAAUUCCAGCAUAUUUUUUCUUGGAAAUACAAAAAUGACAAAAAUUCAACUUCACAGUGAAAAUACAACUCUUUUAGCUAAAUGGCAGACAUAGCUGAGAGACAUAACUCAAAGAAGAUGUAAAUAGAGCUAGGACAGUUGCUAGGUUUGUGUUUUGAACCUAAAUAUGAAAGCAAUUUAACACAAAUGAUAAUAGCAGAUGUUUGUUUUUGUAAUGUAGUUUCAUUACAGUGGUUGUGGUCCAGAAAGGGUAUGGCUGUUACUGUUUGCUGCUACUAUUCUGAGAAAUUGUUGUGUUCAGUUAUUCUAGACAGAAACAGACUACUCAGUUGUUUAAGCAUAGUGUUAAAUCACCAUAUACUUGCAGACAGAAUCUAUAAAUUUAUGUAUAACCACAUAUGUCUUGUAAAUCUAAGCAUUUUAGUAUGAGAAUUUCACCUGAAAUCAUACAUGUCCAUAUGCAACAGUUCAUGUAUAGUUCGGUUUGUGUUGUCAGCAUGAAAUUAAAGAUUGAAACCGCUGUUAUGUAUUUUGGUAACCAGUACCUUGACUAUUUUAAUUUUGAAAUGCUGCAAUGAAAUAGUUGAUGUAAAAUAUCUUCCAGAGUGAGGUGGUAUAGUGAUUAAGGCAUUAUGAUCACACAUAGGAGGUGCAGUGUUCAGAUCCUCUUCUGGCCACCCUGAGUCAUAUUUUCUGUACUUUUCCCUAAACUGCUUCAAGCGGAUAGCAGGAUAAUUGCUUAAUUGGUUUGAAAAGGAAAUGACCAAGAGCUUUCCCCAUAAUUGCCCAUUUAGAGUUAAGUUCCAUUUCUUAUGACAUUGUCAUCAUCUGAAUUUUUAAAUCUAAUCUUACUGCUUUCCCCUGCAAGAUUUAAAUAUUUCCAGUGGAAAGUCAAUAAGUACACAUUGCACAUAAAAUGAUGGAUCAGUCCAGCAUCCAGUUAAGUAAUACAAAAACAGCAAGCCAGAUCAAUUUGUAUGUCAGACCUUGUAUAAUAUUGUGUCUACUAUAGACAAACUGUAUAUGCAUAUAAUUCUAUUUCUAAAUGGCAGAUAUUUCAGGGAUUUAAACAAACUAAACAAUACAUGUUGUAAAACACCACUUCCAUUUUCCAUUUUUUGGCUUGCACAGUGUUUUUCGGACAUGUCAUGCAGGAAAUCUGCAUACCUCACACAAAACCAAUAAGAGUGUGAAUAGUGUUCUGUAACAAUCAGUUGAAUCAUAAUGAGUUGAUACAGGAAAUGGGAUGAUUUUCAAAGACGUGAUAGUCUGAAGAAAGUCCAUACACUGCUGAGUUUGCAAAAUAGGCAGUACAGUACAAAAAGACACCAUUAAUGAACUCACACAGAAGUAGAGAACUGUCUCAAUUACUUGCUGUGGUAAAAUCAUUAUCUUCUGAAACUAUAUGACAGACUGUAGGCACUUUCUCUUCAGGUUUGUUGUACUACUGAGAGAUGGGUAUCCUGCUAAUGGCUGCAAUCUUUACCUAUUGGGAGUGCUUCGCAGUUGGGUUGUCUGAAGCUUGUUUGGUGGAGGCUGCCCAAGGAGGAGACACCUGAAGAGUUGUCUGCUGGGAUUUGCUCCACGUGAAUGAACCUUGCUUUCUGACUGUGAAAUGAUGCUGACUGAAAAACAAAGCAUCUUACUUCAUUGGUUUGGAAAUACAGUCACCUGCUGCUGAUGUCUGGGGGGCAAUUCCUUUUUGUAAUACUAUGUGUAUCUGUCUGGAACAGAGAUCAGUUGUAGGUUCAGUGGCAUUCCUCUUGCUUCCUGUGUACAUACAAAUAUAUUGAGGGAGCUGUUGCAAGUAUGUACAAAAACUCAAAGUAAACCAAAGUUUUUUUUAA
Long non-coding RNA from Schistocerca piceifrons (Central American locust), 2719 nucleotides. RefSeq lists it as uncharacterized. The transcript has 3 exons. NCBI's taxonomy places the organism in Eukaryota, Metazoa, Arthropoda, Insecta, Orthoptera, Acrididae. The record is from RefSeq and is a predicted model, not a curated record.